UUAGCAUGGAUUUGUGGUACAGGAAACACUCACAUCAGCUAUUUUAACCAUUAGUCACCUAUUGCAUAUAUUGACUGUAUUAAAUAGCAAUCAGAAGUUUGUUUUUGUCAGCAUAGCAGCUAUCAGCAAAGAUUUAAGAAGCUGGCAGAUUUUUCUUGUGUAUGUUUWAAAUUCUUAUUGUUACAGUUGUGGCUGUUCUGUUUGAAAGGCACUUACUGAAAGUUUUUGCAGGCAGCCGUCUCUCUACAAGUCCGGGAUGCCAGGAUAAUCCUCUAAUAAAAGAGGCAAAACAUAUCAGUGGGCUUCCUACUCCUUUUAGAAUAGGAAUUUCUCAGGCUACAACCAAAAGUUACAUGUGAAUGUUUGCCACUUCUUUAAAUGCUUAGUUAAAAUAUGUGUAUUCUGUCGUYGUAUGUGUCUAAUGGAUCACUUCUUACAUGUGUUUUCUAGAGGAAAAAGAAGUGGAUCCAGAAAAGAAAAAUGGAAAUUACUCAGGAUUUUAGAAGAGGUUGGCAAAAAGGUGUAUUUUUUGGAAAGUGCAGGAAGACUGAAAGGGUUCAAGCAGCAACAUUCUCAAACAGAAUCUGAUGGUUCCGGCUACUACUAA
This 607-nucleotide long non-coding RNA is filed under the name Dromaius novaehollandiae (emu). RNAcentral's name for it is "lncRNA (ENSDNVG00000004497.1)". Lineage: Eukaryota; Metazoa; Chordata; Aves; Casuariiformes; Dromaiidae. The record is from RNAcentral.